UUAAAUUGAAGAGUUUGAUCAUGGCUCAGAUUGAACGCUGGCGGCAGGCCUAACACAUGCAAGUCGAACGGUAACAGGAAUCAGCUUGCUGAUUCGCUGACGAGUGGCGGACGGGUGAGUAAUGUCUGGGAAACUGCCUGAUGGAGGGGGAUAACUACUGGAAACGGUAGCUAAUACCGCAUAACGUCGCAAGACCAAAGAGGGGGACCUUCGGGCCUCUUGCCAUCGGAUGUGCCCAGAUGGGAUUAGCUAGUAGGUGGGGUAACGGCUCACCUAGGCGACCGAUCCCUAGGCUGGUCGUGAGAGGAUCGACCAGCCACACUGGAACUGAGACACGGUCCAGACUCCUACGGGAGGCAGCAGUG
This 365-nucleotide ribosomal RNA is filed under the name Escherichia sp. E2661. RNAcentral's name for it is "bacterial SSU rRNA". It matches the Rfam family "Bacterial small subunit ribosomal RNA", at positions 1 to 356 of the family's 1533-position model. The record is from RNAcentral. Lineage: Bacteria; Pseudomonadati; Pseudomonadota; Gammaproteobacteria; Enterobacterales; Enterobacteriaceae.